This 406-nucleotide ribosomal RNA is filed under the name uncultured bacterium. RNAcentral's name for it is "partial 16S ribosomal RNA". It matches the Rfam family "Bacterial small subunit ribosomal RNA", at positions 30 to 526 of the family's 1533-position model. The record is from RNAcentral.
AUUGAACGCUGGCGGCAGGCCUAACACAUGCAAGUCGAGCGAGCGGCGGACGGGAGAGUAAUGUCUGGGAAACUGCCUGAUGGAGGGGGAUAACUACUGGAAACGGUAGCUAAUACAGCAUACCAUCAGAUGUGCCCAGAUGGGGUUAGCUAGUAGGGGUGGUAACGGCUCACCUAGGCGACGAUCCCUAGCUGGUCUGGGAGGAUGAGCAGCCACCCUGGAACUUGGACACGGUCCAGACUCCUACGGUAGGCAGCAGUGGGGAAUAUUGCACAAUGGGCGCAAGCCUGAUGCAGCCAUGGCGCGUGUGUGAAGAAGGCCUUCGGGGUGUAAAGCACUUUCAGCGGGUGGGCGUUACCCGCAGAAGAAGCACCGGCUAACUCCGUGCCAGCAGCCGCGGUAAUUC